RNAcentral lists this ribosomal RNA (253 nucleotides) under uncultured bacterium. RNAcentral's name for it is "partial 16S ribosomal RNA". It matches the Rfam family "Bacterial small subunit ribosomal RNA", at positions 524 to 776 of the family's 1533-position model. The record is from RNAcentral.
UACGAAGGGGACUAGCGUUGUUCGGAAUUACUGGGCGUAAAGCGCACGUAGGCGGAUUUGUAAGUCAGGGGUGAAAUCCCGGGGCUCAACCUCGGAACUGCCUUUGAUACUGCAAAUCUCGAGUCCGAUAGAGGUGGGUGGAAUUCCUAGUGUAGAGGUGAAAUGCGUAGAUAUCUGGAGGAACACCGGUGGCGAAGGCGGCAUCCUGGACCAACACUGACACUGAGGAGCGAAAGCCAGGGGAGCAAACGGG